RNAcentral lists this ribosomal RNA (460 nucleotides) under uncultured bacterium. RNAcentral describes it as "partial 16S ribosomal RNA". It matches the Rfam family "Bacterial small subunit ribosomal RNA", at positions 338 to 795 of the family's 1533-position model. The record is from RNAcentral.
CCUACGUGAGGCUGCAGUGAGGAAUAUUGGUCACUGGACGAGAGUCUGAACCAGCCAAGUAGCGUGAAGGAUGACUGCCCUAUGGGUUGUACACUUCUUUUAUAUGGGAAUAAAAUGUUCCACGUGUGGGAUUUUGUAUGUACCCUAUGAAUACGGAUCGGCUAACUCCGUGCCAGCAGCCGCGGUAAUACGGAGGAUCCGAGCGUUAUCCGUAUUUAUUGGGUUUAAAGGGAGCGUAGGUGGAUUGUUAAGUCAGUUGUGAAAGUUUGCGGCUCAACCGUAAAAUUGCAGUUGAAACUGGCAGGCUGGAGUACAGUAGAGGUGGGCGGAAUUCGUGGUGUAGCGGUGAAAUGCUUAGAUAUCACGAAGAACUCCGAUUGCGAAGGCAGUUCACUGGACUGCAACUGACACUGAGGCUCGAAAGUGUGGGUAUCAAACAGGAUUAGAUACCCGGGUAGUC